GCUACGCUGGCGGCGUGUCUUAGCCAUGCAAGUCGAGCGGACUUAUGGGGUAACUUAUAAGGUCAGCGGCGGACGGCGGAGUAACACGUAGCUAACCUACCCUCUGGACGGGGAUAACCUACCGAAAGGUGGGCUAUACCCGAUGUAGUCAUCCUGUAUAGGGGUGAUGAAAGGUGGGCUUCUGUUUACAAGCUCAUGCUGGAGGAGGGGGCUGCGGCCUAUCAGGUAGUUGGUAGGGUAAUAGCCUACCAAGCCGAUGACGGGUAGCCGGCCUGAGAGGGUGACCGGCCCGAGGGGCACUGAGAUACGGGUCCCACUCCUACGGGAGGCAGCAGGCUAGAAAUUUGGGCAAUGGGGGAAACCCUGACCCAGUGACGCCGCGUGCAGGAAGGAGCCCUUCGGGGUGUAAACUGCUGUCGUGUAGGGAGAAGGGUACUAAGGUGAACAAUCUUAGUACUUGACGGUACUACAGGAGGAAGCCCAGGCUAACCUCGUG
This 496-nucleotide ribosomal RNA is filed under the name uncultured bacterium. Its description in RNAcentral is "bacterial SSU rRNA". It matches the Rfam family "Bacterial small subunit ribosomal RNA", at positions 33 to 507 of the family's 1533-position model. The record is from RNAcentral.